AAAGGAAUUGACGGGGGCCCGCACAAGCGGUGGAUUAUGUGGUUUAAUUCGAAGCAACGCGCAGAACCUUACCUAGGCUUGAAAUCCAGAGAAUCCGGGGUAAUGCCUGGAGUGUCCGCAAGGAAAUUCUGAGACAGGUGCUGCAUGGCUGUCGUCAGCUCGUGUUGUGAAAUGUUGGGUUAAGUCUCGCAACGAGCGCAACCCCUAUCUUUAGUUGCCAGCAUUAAGUUGGGCACUCUAGAGAGACUGCCUGGGUUAACCAGGAGGAAGGUGGGGAUGACGUCAAGUCCUCAUGGCCCUUAUGCCUAGGGCUACACACGUAAUACAAUGGCACCCACAAAGGGAAGCAAGCAGGUGACUGUAAGCAAAUCUCAAAAAGGGUGUCUCAGUCCGGAUUGGAGUCUGCAACUCGACUCCAUGAAGUUGGAAUCGCUAGUAAUCGCGGAUCAGCACGCCGCGGUGAAUACGUUCCCGGGCCUUGUACACACCGCCCGU
This 495-nucleotide ribosomal RNA is filed under the name uncultured bacterium. Its description in RNAcentral is "bacterial SSU rRNA". It matches the Rfam family "Bacterial small subunit ribosomal RNA", at positions 903 to 1397 of the family's 1533-position model. The record is from RNAcentral.